RNAcentral lists this ribosomal RNA (371 nucleotides) under uncultured organism. RNAcentral describes it as "bacterial SSU rRNA". It matches the Rfam family "Bacterial small subunit ribosomal RNA", at positions 526 to 896 of the family's 1533-position model. The record is from RNAcentral.
CGUAGGCAGCGAGCGUUGUUCGGAGUUACUGGGCGUAAAGGGUGUGUAGGCGGUUGUUUAAGUUUGGUGUGAAAUCUCCCGGCUCAACUGGGAGGGUGCGCCGAAUACUGAAUGACUUGGAGUGCGGGAGAGGAAAGUGGAAUUCCUGGUGUAGCGGUGAAAUGCGUAGAUAUCAGGAGGAACACCGGUGGUGUAGACGGCUUUCUGGACCGUAACUGACGCUGAGACACGAAAGCGUGGGUAGCAAACAGGAUUAGAUACCCUGGUAGUCCACGCCCUAAACGAUGCAUAUUUGGUGUGGGCAGUUCAUUCUGUCCGUGCCGGAGCUAACGCGUUAAAUAUGCCGCCUAGGGAGUACAGUCGCAAGGCUG